GAUGAACGCUGGCGGCGUGCCUAAUACAUGCCAGUCGAGCGAACAGACGAGGAGCUUGCUCCUCUGACGUUAGCGGCGGACGGGUGAGUAACACGUGGAUAACCUACCUAUAAGACUGGGAUAACUUCGGGAAACCGGAGCUAAUACCGGAUAAUAUAUUGAACCGCAUGGUUCAAUAGUGAAAGACGGUUUUGCUGUCACUUAUAGAUGGAUCCGCGCCGCAUUAGCUAGUUGGUAAGGUAACGGCUUACCAAGGCAACGAUGCGUAGCCGACCUGAGAGGGUGAUCGGCCACACUGGAACUGAGACACGGUCCAGACUCCUACGGGAGGCAGCAGUAGGGAAUCUUCCGCAAUGGGCGAAAGCCUGACGGAGCAACGCCGCGUGAGUGAUGAAGGUCUUCGGAUCGUAAAACUCUGUUAUCAGGGAAGAACAAAUGUGUAAGUAACUAUGCACGUCUUGACGGUACCUAAUCAGAAAGCCACGGCUAACUACGUG
RNAcentral lists this ribosomal RNA (497 nucleotides) under uncultured bacterium. Its description in RNAcentral is "partial 16S ribosomal RNA". It matches the Rfam family "Bacterial small subunit ribosomal RNA", at positions 28 to 507 of the family's 1533-position model. The record is from RNAcentral.